GUAAACGAUGAGUGCUAAGUGUUGGAGGGUUUCCGCCCUUCAGUGCUGCAGCUAACGCAUUAAGCACUCCGCCUGGGGAGUACGACCGCAAGGUUGAAACUCAAAGGAAUUGACGGGGGCCCGCACAAGCGGUGGAGCAUGUGGUUUAAUUCGAAGCAACGCGAAGAACCUUACCAGGUCUUGACAUCCUCUGACAACCCUAGAGAUAGGGCUUUCCCUUCGGGGACAGAGUGACAGGUGGUGCAUGGUUGUCGUCAGCUCGUGUCGUGAGAUGUUGGGUUAAGUCCCGCAACGAGCGCAACCCUUGUCGUUAGUUGCCAUCAUUCAGUUGGGCACUCUAGCGAGACUGCCGGUGACAAACCGGAGGAAGGUGGGGAUGACGUCAAAUCAUCAUGCCCCUUAUGACCUGGGCUACACACGUGCUACAAUGGACGGUACAACGAGCAGCGAACUCGCGAGGGCAAGCGAAUCUCUUAAAGCCGUUCUCAGUUCGGAUUGCAGGCUGCAACUCGCCUGCAUGAAGCCGGAAUCGCUAGUAAUCGUGGAUCAGCAUGCCACGGUGAAUACGUUCCCGGGCCUUGUACACACCGCCCGUCACACCACGAGAGUUUGUAACGCCCAAAGUCGGUGCGGUAACCUUUUGGAGCCAGCCGCCUAAGGUGGGAUAGAUGAUUGGGGUG
This 680-nucleotide ribosomal RNA is filed under the name uncultured Catellicoccus sp. Its description in RNAcentral is "bacterial SSU rRNA". It matches the Rfam family "Bacterial small subunit ribosomal RNA", at positions 802 to 1482 of the family's 1533-position model. The record is from RNAcentral. Lineage: Bacteria; Bacillati; Bacillota; Bacilli; Lactobacillales; Enterococcaceae.